GGUGUGGAUCCGUAGCCUCUGGAAGGUUAACAAAGACUUUCCACACCCCGCUUCGACUCAAUACAUCCCCGGUGUACAGAACGG
RNAcentral lists this ribozyme (84 nucleotides) under Anopheles stephensi (Asian malaria mosquito). RNAcentral's name for it is "drz-agam-2-2 ribozyme". It matches the Rfam family "drz-agam-2-2 ribozyme", at positions 23 to 105 of the family's 191-position model. The record is from Rfam by way of RNAcentral. Lineage: Eukaryota; Metazoa; Arthropoda; Insecta; Diptera; Culicidae.